Molecule: transfer RNA, 104 nt
Filed under: Thermoproteota archaeon
Lineage: Archaea; Thermoproteati; Thermoproteota
Description: tRNA-Ser
Rfam family: tRNA
About the family: Transfer RNA (tRNA) molecules are approximately 80 nucleotides in length. Their secondary structure includes four short double-helical elements and three loops (D, anti-codon, and T loops). Further hydrogen bonds mediate the characteristic L-shaped molecular structure. tRNAs have two regions of fundamental functional importance: the anti-codon, which is responsible for specific mRNA codon recognition, and the 3' end, to which the tRNAs corresponding amino acid is attached (by aminoacyl-tRNA synthetases). tRNAs cope with the degeneracy of the genetic code in two manners: having more than one tRNA (with a specific anti-codon) for a particular amino acid; and 'wobble' base-pairing, i.e. permitting non-standard base-pairing at the 3rd anti-codon position.
Source: RNAcentral
GCCGGGGUACCCAAGCUAGGUAAGUACAAUAUUGGCCCUAAGAGGGGUCAGCCUCGAGAGCUGAUGUCCGCAAGGACUCGUGGGUUCGAGUCCCACUCCCGGCG